UACGUAGGGUGCGAGCGUUGUCCGGAAUUACUGGGCGUAAAGAGCUCGUAGGUGGUUUGUCGCGUUGUUCGUGAAAACUCACAGCUUAACUGUGGGCGUGCGGGCGAUACGGGCAGACUGGAGUGCUGCAGGGGAGACUGGAAUUCCUGGUGUAGCGGUGAAAUGCGCAGAUAUCGGGAGGAACACCGGUGGCGAAGGCGGUUCCCUGGGCCUUACCUGACGCUGAGGAGCGAAAGCGUGGGGAGCGAACAGG
RNAcentral lists this ribosomal RNA (253 nucleotides) under uncultured bacterium. RNAcentral's name for it is "partial 16S ribosomal RNA". It matches the Rfam family "Bacterial small subunit ribosomal RNA", at positions 524 to 776 of the family's 1533-position model. The record is from RNAcentral.